GUAACGGCGAGUGAAGCGGCACAGCUCAAUUUGAAAUCCGGCCUCGGCCCGAGUUGUAAUCUGUAGGGGAUGUCCCUGGCGCGGCGCCACCGAGUUCCCUGGAACGGGACGCCAUAGAGGGUGAGAGCCCCGUAUGGUUGGACGCCAGCCUCUGUGGGACUCCUCCGACGAGUCGAGUAGUUUGGGAAUGCUGCUCAAAUUGGGAGGUAAAUCUCUUCUAAAGCUAAAUACCGGCCAGAGACCGAUAGCGCACAAGUAGAGUGAUCGAAAGAUGAAAAGCACCUUGGAAAGGGGGUUAAACAGCACGUGAAAUUGUUGAAAGGGAAGCGCCUGUGACCAGACUCGCGCCGGGCGGAUCAUCCAGCGUUCUCGCUGGUGCACUCCGCCCGGUACGGGCCAGCAUCGGUUUCCGCGGGGGGACAAGAGCGGCGGGAACGUGGCCCUUCGGGGUGUUAUAGCCCGCCGCACGAUGCCCUCUUGGGGACCGAGGAUCGCGCUCUGCAAGGAUGCUGGCGUAAUGGUCACCGGCGACCCGUCUUGAAACACGGACCAAGGAGUCGUCCAUUACGGCGAGCGUUUGGGUGUCAAACCCCCUACGCGUAAUGAAAGUGAACGCAGGUGAGAGCUUCGGCGCAUCAUCGACCGAUCCUGAUG
RNAcentral lists this ribosomal RNA (654 nucleotides) under Jattaea mookgoponga. RNAcentral's name for it is "partial large subunit ribosomal RNA". It matches the Rfam family "Eukaryotic large subunit ribosomal RNA", at positions 83 to 776 of the family's 3401-position model. The record is from RNAcentral. Lineage: Eukaryota; Fungi; Ascomycota; Sordariomycetes; Calosphaeriales; Calosphaeriaceae.